Molecule: ribosomal RNA, 954 nt
Filed under: uncultured Hypocreales
Lineage: Eukaryota; Fungi; Ascomycota; Sordariomycetes; Hypocreales
Description: eukaryotic LSU rRNA
Rfam family: Eukaryotic large subunit ribosomal RNA (bases 312-954)
Source: RNAcentral
AAAACUUUCAACAACGGAUCUCUUGGUUCUGGCAUCGAUGAAGAACGCAGCAAAAUGCGAUAAGUAAUGUGAAUUGCAGAAUUCAGUGAAUCAUCGAAUCUUUGAACGCACAUUGCGCCCGCCAGUAUUCUGGCGGGCAUGCCUGUUCGAGCGUCAUUUCAACCCUCAAGCACAGCUUGGUGUUGGGACUCGCGUUAAUUCGCGUUCCUCAAAUUGAUUGGCGGUCACGUCGAGCUUCCAUAGCGUAGUAGUAAAACCCUCGUUACUGGUAAUCGUCGCGGCCACGCCGUUAAACCCCAACUUCUGAAUGUUGACCUCGGAUCAGGUAGGAAUACCCGCUGAACUUAAGCAUAUCAAUAAGCGGAGGAAAAGAAACCAACAGGGAUUGCCCUAGUAACGGCGAGUGAAGCGGCAACAGCUCAAAUUUGAAAUCUGGCUCUCGGGCCCGAGUUGUAAUUUGUAGAGGAUACUUUUGAUGCGGUGCCUUCCGAGUUCCCUGGAACGGGACGCCAUAGAGGGUGAGAGCCCCGUCUGGUUGGAUGCCAAAUCUCUGUAAAGUUCCUUCAACGAGUCGAGUAGUUUGGGAAUGCUGCUCUAAAUGGGAGGUAUAUGUCUUCUAAAGCUAAAUACCGGCCAGAGACCGAUAGCGCACAAGUAGAGUGAUCGAAAGAUGAAAAGAACUUUGAAAAGAGAGUUAAAAAGUACGUGAAAUUGUUGAAAGGGAAGCGCUUGUGACCAGACUUGGGCUUGGUUGAUCAUCCGGGGUUCUCCCCGGUGCACUCUUCCGGCUCAGGCCAGCAUCAGUUCGCCCUGGGGGAUAAAGGCUUCGGGAAUGUGGCUCUCUCCGGGGAGUGUUAUAGCCCGCUGCGUAAUACCCUGUGGCGGACUGAGGUUCGCGCAUUCGCAAGGAUGCUGGCGUAAUGGUCAUCAGUGACCCGUCUUGAAACACGGACC